CUUUUCUUUUGUGUUUUCAUUCUUUUCUUUUUCCCUCAUUUGAUCCAUAGAAUUUUUCAACUUGAUUUGAUCUUCGUAAACUUGUUUUGGUGUCAACGGGGCUAAAGUCACAUUUCGACCCAUGUGCUUGAAUGCAUAAUGGUUGGAGUAGCCAUCAUGGAUAACUCGACGAUCAAAUUGCCACGGGCGUCCAAGUAACAAGUGGCCCACGUGCAUAGGGACUACAAC
Molecule: long non-coding RNA, 228 nt
Filed under: Gossypium raimondii (Peruvian cotton)
Lineage: Eukaryota; Viridiplantae; Streptophyta; Magnoliopsida; Malvales; Malvaceae
Description: long non-coding RNA (GRAI_LNC002144)
Source: RNAcentral